Molecule: ribosomal RNA, 495 nt
Filed under: uncultured bacterium
Lineage: Bacteria
Description: partial 16S ribosomal RNA
Rfam family: Bacterial small subunit ribosomal RNA
Source: RNAcentral
UGAACGCUGGCGGCGUGCCUAAUACAUGCAAGUCGAGCGAACAGACGAGGAGCUUGCUCCUCUGACGUUAGCGGCGGACGGGUGAGUAACACGUGGAUAACCUACCUAUAAGACUGGGAUAACUUCGGGAAACCGGAGCUAAUACCGGAUAAUAUAUUGAACCGCAUGGUUCAAUAGUGAAAGACGGUUUUGCUGUCACUUAUAGAUGGAUCCGCGCCGCAUUAGCUAGUUGGUAAGGUAACGGCUUACCAAGGCAACGAUGCGUAGCCGACCUGAGAGGGUGAUCGGCCACACUGUAACUGAGACACGGUCCAGACUCCUACGGGAGCCAGCAGUAGGGAAUCUUCCGCAAUGGGCGAAAGCCUGCAGGAGCACCGCCGCGUGAGUGAUGAAGGUCUUCGGAUCGUAAAACUCUGUUAUUAGGGAAGAACACAUGUGUAAGUAACUAUGCACGUCUUGACGGUACCUCAUCAGAAAGCCACGGCUAACUACGUG